GACGAACGCUGGCGGCGUGCCUAAUACAUGCAAGUUGAGCGCUGAAGGUUGGUACUUGUACCGACUGGAUGAGCAGCGAACGGGUGAGUAACGCGUGGGGAAUCUGCCUUUGAGCGGGGGACAACAUUUGGAAACGAAUGCUAAUACCGCAUAAAAACUUUAAACACAAGUUUUAAGUUUGAAAGAUGCAAUUGCAUCACUCAAAGAUGAUCCCGCGUUGUAUUAGCUAGUUGGUGAGGUAAAGGCUCACCAAGGCGAUGAUACAUAGCCGACCUGAGAGGGUGAUCGGCCACAUGGGGACUGAGACACGGCCCAAACUCCUACGGGAGGCAGCAGUAGGGAAUCUUCGGCAAUGGACGAAAGUCUGAACGAGCAACGCCGCGUGAGUGAAGAAGGUUUUCGGAUCGUAAAACUCUGUUGGUAGAGAAGAACGUUGGUGGGAGUGGAAAGCUCAUCAAGUGACGGUAACUACCCAGAAAGGGACGGCUAACUA
RNAcentral lists this ribosomal RNA (493 nucleotides) under uncultured bacterium. Its description in RNAcentral is "partial 16S ribosomal RNA". It matches the Rfam family "Bacterial small subunit ribosomal RNA", at positions 28 to 503 of the family's 1533-position model. The record is from RNAcentral.